Molecule: ribosomal RNA, 501 nt
Filed under: Bacillus thuringiensis
Lineage: Bacteria; Bacillati; Bacillota; Bacilli; Caryophanales; Bacillaceae
Description: bacterial SSU rRNA
Rfam family: Bacterial small subunit ribosomal RNA
Source: RNAcentral
CUUGAAGGGGUGAUUCACCCCCCUGGGACUGAAACCCGGGUCAAACUCCUUCGGGAGGCCACAAUAGGGAAAUUUUCGCCAUUGGCGAAAAUCUGGCGGAACACCUCCCCGUGAGUGAUGAAGGCUUUCGGGUCGUUAAACUCCUUUGUUUGGGAAGAACAAGUACUAGUUUAAUAAGCGGGCGCCAUGACGGUACCUAAACAAUAAGCCCCGGCUAACUUCGUGCCAGCAGCCGCGGUAAUACGUAGGUGGCAAGCGUUAUUCGGAAUUAUUGGGCGUAAAGCGCGCGCAGGUGGUUUUUUAAGUCCGAUGUGAAAGCCCACGGCUCACCGGGAGGGUCAUUGGAAACUGGGAGACUAGAGUGCAGUAGAGGAAAGUGGAAUUCCAUGUGUAGCAGUGAAAUGCGUAGAGAUAUGGAGGAACAUCCGUGGCGAAGGCAACUUUCUGGUCCGUCACUGACACUGAGGCGCGAAAGCGUGGGGAGCAAACAGGAUUAGAUAC